RNA transcript from Camelina sativa (false flax), 2087 nucleotides. RefSeq lists it as uncharacterized. The record is from RefSeq and is a predicted model, not a curated record. Lineage: Eukaryota; Viridiplantae; Streptophyta; Magnoliopsida; Brassicales; Brassicaceae.
CAACACGAUUUGCAACUGAAAUAACAAGAUGUUUUUAUACCCAAAUAAUAGAAAUCCCCAAAAUUGAUGAACCCUAAUUUAUGAAAGUGAAAUUCUCAGAAUUUUUGUAAUGUUGAAGUCAAUUAGGAGGUUUCUUCUGGAAAAUGAUCGACGAAAACGCAAAUCUCAUCUAAGUGUAGAGUGGAUGCGGCUGGAACUUACAAGAUGCUAAGGUAAUUGUGUUUUAUUGAUUUCUACUCCAUCUUUUUUGAUUUGAAGGAUAAUAGAUGUGUUGAGUUUUUGGAUUAGUCACACCAAUCUUAAUUGUACGGGACGCUUUUCUUCCGAUUGCAUGUGGGAGGAUAUUGGGCAGCAGAUGGUUCAUACAAUGGUGGUGAGACAAGAUGUUUAAGGCUUGAUUUUGAAGCCCCAAGUUUAGCAAUGUUGACAAAUAUGGUUUCAAGUGCUGGUUAUGCAGAAAAUUAUGAGUCAGAUGAUCCUUAUCUAGAUGAUGUUCUUAUUGGAGAAAGGGAAGAAGAAGAGGAACCUGAGUAUGAGAACUGUCUGAUUUUUACUGUAAUGAUUAUGUUGUGAGUGAUGACUCGGAUGAUGAUGGUGCUAGUAUAGAGUUUUAUGAAGGAAAGAAUUUGUUUCGAAAGAGAAGUGUAAGGGAAAAAUUGAGAAGUAUGCUGUGAAAGAGAAGGUGGUGAAUAUACAUUUUAAGAGAUCAGAAAGGAAGAAAGUAGGAGUGUGUGCUCAGGAUAUAUAGUUGCAAGUGGAGAAUAUAUGCAUCAAUAAGUAGUCGUUCAGAUAAAAUGGUUGUUAGAUCUUAUAAAGGAACCCAAGUUGUUAUCCUCUAGGUGUUGUGGAUCUUUAUAAGGCCCCAAAAAUAGCUGCUGAUUUUUUGAAUGAGUUUAGGACUAAUCCAAAACUGUCUGCUGACCAAAUAAUGCAGAGGUCGUAUCUAAAUGGUCUUCGGGUUUCAAAUACUAAAUGUCAGAGUGCAAGACAGAUUAUGAAACACAUCAUCACUGAUGAGUAGUAUGCUGAGCAGUUUACAAGAAUGUAUGAUUAUGUUGAGGAGCUGAGAAAGACUAAUCCUGGUUCAACAGUUAUUUUAGACAUGUAGCAACUGCCAACAAACUAGUUGGACACAACAAACGCAAAUGUAAACUUGAACCAGUGUCCAAGCCACCCACCAUGGUCAGAAACCUUCUCGGUAUUGGCUGGAUAAAAUUCUUCGUGCUCUCUCUCAUUGGUACCUUCUUGGCUUGGGUAACGGACGAAAUUGCGGAGCAUCACCCGGAGCCACUAACGGUUGCUGCAGUUUUAUUAGCUGCGAUCCACUUCUACGUCACAUCACACUGGUUUGGCAUUCACACUGAUUGUUAUAGGGCUCUUGAUGGUUGCUGCGACAGAGUGUAUUCACUUGACAAAGAUAGAUUUUGUCAAAAUACUUCUUAUGUUCGGGGAAGGUUUUCUUUUAGCAUCGUUUUCCACUUACAAGCUGUGGGCAGCACAGAGAAGAGCAGUUGAGAUACAAGAUUUAGAUUUUGAGGAUGUGGAGGGACAAGAUGUUGGAGGACAAGACCAUAAUCAGGUUGCAGCAACGGAAGAAGAUGAUGAUUUGGGCUUGGAGGAUCAUAACCUGGAAAUUGCUGUUUUCCAACCACCUGAGGUUGCAGCGAUGCAGAGGAUAAGGGAAGAAGAUGAGGAUUUGGGCUUGGAGGGACAAGAUUAUAACCUUGCUAUUGUUGUUUACUAACCACCUGAGGUUGCAGUUCCUUUGAGGAGAAGAGAAGAAGAAGAGGACGGCUGCAGGGACACAGUUCAAAGGAGCAAUAAGAGAAGAAGAGAAGACGAAGAGGAGGAACAGGGCAGUGGAGGAGAAAGGAAGAAGAGGAGUAGAAACCUCUGAUGUGAAGGGAUAUAGACAGUCUAUAACAUUACCAUUUUUUGCAUGUACUUGGCAUUUUCUUAAAUAGUCGGGCAUAGAACCAUUCUUUGUAUCAACAAGAGAUUUAAGCUCUUCUUUUAUUGGAAAAAGGGGAAUUGUUACCAUGUUCUUCUUCUGCGUACUUUUGGUGAAAAUUAGAUUAGAAACAUUA